RNAcentral lists this ribosomal RNA (444 nucleotides) under Peripatidae sp. UFMT 163. Its description in RNAcentral is "partial 12S ribosomal RNA". Lineage: Eukaryota; Metazoa; Onychophora; Udeonychophora; Euonychophora; Peripatidae. The record is from RNAcentral. RNAcentral also lists the same sequence under 5 other names.
UAUUAUAAAUUAAUUUACCCUGAAUAAAUUUAUUUUAUUAUAUAUAAAUCAAAAAUGAAAUUUCUACUCUUUAUAAUAAUAUAAUUUUUCAUUAAUAGACCAAAACCAGGAUUAGAUACCCUGUUAUUCUAUCAUAAUAUAAUAUUUCAAAGAAAAUAGACAUAAUAAAUCUGACGGUAUUAACUUUUACAAAGGAAUUUGUUUCCUAAUCGAAAACACACGUUAAACCUUACUUAAUUUAAUAUUUGUAUACCACCGUAAUAGAAAUUAUUUAAAAUUAAUUCCAUCCUAAACAAUUUUAUAACAUCAGGUCAAGGUGCAAUUUAAUUAAGACGAAAUGAAUUACAUUUUUAUAUAAAUAUAUAAGAAAUGAAACUCUCUUAAAAAAAGAAUUUGUUAGUAAAAUUUUAUAAUAAUGUUCUUUUGAAAAUUUACAUUAAUAUG